UGACCUAUGCACCAACCCUUUGUGGA
This 26-nucleotide non-coding RNA is filed under the name Homo sapiens (human). Lineage: Eukaryota; Metazoa; Chordata; Mammalia; Primates; Hominidae. The record is from RNAcentral.